GGCUGGUGUCAGUGAUGAUAUCUGCAAGGAUGGAAAGUCCCCACUGGGACUGCUUGUAUGUACUCUCCUGAAAUACUGGAUUCAGUGGUGCCAGCUUAAUGGCCAGGAGAAGUUUUGUACCAAGAACUAACCGAUCAGUGUUUUUUUUUUUAAACAGGGUCUGGUUCUGUCACCCAUGCUGGAGUGCAGUGGUACAGUCUUGGCUCACUGCAGCUUUGGCCCCGUGGGCUCAAGUGAUCCUCCCACCUCAGCCUCCUGACUAGCUGGGACUUCAGGCAUGUGCCACCAAGCCCAGCUACUUUUUGUAGUUUUUGCAGAGACAAGUUUCGCCAUGCUGUCCAGGCCAUAUGCUGCUGGUGAGCGUGGUGGGAUGUGUUUAUGUUGGAUACAACCUGGAGCCCUGCACCGGAGCAUCUCACUACCAGGAGAACUGGUGUGGUGGAGGAGAGAAGCGUGAAGCCAUUUCUAUCCCAGCACACCCAGCGGCAGCUGCUGAGCUGAAGGUGUUUCUGCAGCAAGCGUCCUCUUCUCAUCUGCGUGCUGACUGCACAGACAGGGCAAAGUCUGUAUCUUUCCAAUCUGUGUGUACACAGGCCAAUUUGUCAUUAGCUCUGCAAAAGUCAUGAGAGGAGGUUUAAUUUAAUAAAUUAAAAUGUAAUUCCCAAACACAAGUUUAUAACCAACACUUUCAUCUGCAUUGAGCAAGGCUUUAUCACUUAGUUGUAAAGGUGAAAAGGACUAAUGCUUACACUGAGAACCCACUAAGUCUCACAACAUUAUGAGACAGGUACUAUUUUGUCCCGUCCCCUAGCUCCUCUGGGCAUUGUGCCAAAUGGUGGUGGUGAUGAUGGGUGUUGGUACUGGCAAGCAGCAGGAAAGGGGUUUCAAAGGCAGUGCUAGGGCUGCCUGCCACUGAGUCAUCCUGGGAGUCAUCUCUGGAUAAAUGGGUAUGACCAACAGCACUGUGAUGGUCGAGGGUACCAGCAUGACACCUGUAUAACUCCAUCUAAUUAUGUUGGACUCAAUUUUGUGCCUACACUGAGGGAUAAUGUUGAUUCAAUCACUCGUGUCUUACAGUAACACCUUUUUUUUUUUUUUUUUUUUGAGACAGAGUCUUGCUCUGUCGCCAGGCUGGAGUGCAGUGGCGCAAUCUCGGCUCACUGCAACCUCCACCUUCUGGGUUCAAGCAAUUCCCCUGCCUCAGCCUCCCGAGUAGCUGGGACUACAGGUGCGCACCAACACGCCUGGCUAACUUUUCAUAUUUCAGUAGAGACGGGGUUUCACCAUGUUGGCCAGGAUGGUCUCAAUCUCCUGACCUGGUGAUCCGCCCGCCUCAGCUUGCUAAAGUGCUGAGAUUACAGGCGUGAGCCACCGCACCCAGCCAACACCAUGAUUUUAAAAAUAAGACCAGGUUUCAAUGUCUCUGAGGGUAUCAGAUUCAUCAAAGGGGCUUGGACACUUGAGUAUGGAUGCACCCAUGAAACCUGACUUUCCAUUUUGUCUGGCUGAUAAACAGCUUAGGGGUGGGAGAAAAAAAUCAUCCUCUACAGAAAAGAUCUACACCCAAGAGGCAGUAAGGUAUAGCAGUUACAAGCACAGAUUUGGGGUAUAGAAUUUGGAUUCAGAUUGAGAUUUAUCAUCCACAUUCUCUUAUUUCAUGUGUGACGUUAGGUGAGUUAUUUAACCUUUUUCUUCACUUUCUUCAGCUAUGAAAUGGAGAUGAUAUAUAUAGUGCUUAUCUUCCAUAGAAGUUAUGAAUAUCAAAUGAAUUAAUAUAUAUAAAGCAUUUAAAGCAGUGCCUGGGCAGCCAGUCUCUAUUUUUCCUUUAUUGGCUAUAUGUUAGCUGAUAGGGUACAGAAGUCCAUGACCCUACUCAUUCCAGCUUUGUUUUGUCCAAACUGUUGUGCAAAGAGGAUAAGCAGGAUUUUAAAUUAUGUGCUGGGUUGUGCUGGCAUAGUACCCCACAAAAUAAAUCACAACGCCUUUAUUUUAGAGCAGCUGGAAAUGGACACCUUUAAUGGACAGGGGAGUCCAUUUAGCAAUGUCAAUAUGUAUUUGCUAUUAUUGUUGUUAUGACACUGGUAUCAGUUUACUGGGGCUCCCAUAACAAAGUACCACAGACUAGGUGGCUUAAAUAAUAUAAAUUUGUUUCUGCACAGUUUUGAAGACUAGGCAUCCAAGAUCAAUGUGUCAAUAGGGUUGGUUCCUUUAAAGGCCCAUGAAAGAAGGGUGUGUUCUAGGCCUUUCUCCUUGGCUUGAAGAUUACCAUCUUUCCCUUUCUUUUCAUUUCCCUUUUCUUCUGCAUGCAUCAGUGUCCAAAUUUCGUCUUCUUAUAAGGACACCAGUCAUAUUGGAUUUGGGCUCACUUGUGACGACCCUGUCUUCAAAAAGGUCACAUUUUGAGGUACUAGGGUUUAAGACUCCAAUGUAUGAAUCUUUGGAGGGCAUAAUUCAGCCCGUAAUAGUGCCUAAGCAAGGCUUUUGGUGAAACUCACUUUCAGAGUAAAUUUUGUUCUUACAGAGGUUGACUGUUUUUUCCUUUUUUGAGUAAUCAUUGUAAAUUUUCUGCCUUUCUCAUAUUAUCUCCUACUUUUAAACUAUUUUUAAGAAUCUAAAUAAAUAUCUUGGUCAAAGUUCUAUAGAUGCUGAGCUGGGUACAGUUUUGGCAUCUGUAGUCCCAGUUACUUGGGAGGCUGAGGUGGGAGGAUCUCAUGAGCCCAGGAGUCCAAGAGCAGCCUGGGCAACACAGUGAGAGCUUAUCUGUUAAAAAGAAAACAAACAUUCUAUGGAUGCUGAAUAGAAUGGAUUCAAUGGUAUCUUCCCCAGAGGAAAAAAUCCAUGAAAUGGAUUUUUUUUUUUUUUUUAAACCAUUCAAAUGGUAACCUAAUACCUAAAUUUAGCGGCAGGGUCAUUUUAAUACAUUUAAACUUUUUUGUUGGAUCCAGCUUUAUUAUGUUAUUAUUGAUAACAACCAUAAGUAAUCAUGUUUUCAAUGGAUUUCUUAACUAAUUCAGUUAAGAAAUGCUAUGUCACUCAGUCACUAAAUGUUGGUGGCCUGCAUGAUUCAUUGUCUCUGUUUGUGAGCAGGGACUGGUCAGGUCUGGUGAAUACUAGGGGAAUUCACCUGGGGUUUGACUGGUCCACAGACUAGCCACUCAGGCUGUGUGUGUUAGGUAAGAGUUUUUGAGUGGCAAAUAUCAGAAAUCAACUCCAGUUAGCUUAAGCAGAAAAAGGACUACAUUGGGAGGAUACCAGGAAAUCUCACUGAAUCCCAGGAAUCACUAAAGUCCCAGGCCCCCAGGAGGCUGAGGACCAGGGCAGGAAUUUUGGGCAUUUGUCAGGUCUCUUCCAUUUGUCCCUCCAGCUUCACUCUCUUUCUCUCCUGCUCUGUGCUUCUAUGGACUGUAUUGAUGGGUGUUAUGAACCGUAGCAAUAGGCUCCUGUGCCCUUUAACUUUUGGUUGUGUUUGGGCAGUGAUGUAUUUUGUCAGGAGAUCAGAGGAAGCAAGGGGAGUGAGGCCAGCAGUUCAUAUCCUACCUUGGCUGUACCUUGGGUAAUGCCUUGGGCUAAUCAAGUCCCUUGGCCAGUAGUCACAGGUUGUCUGCAGAUGGCCUUCUGGGCAUGACUUUCUCCUUCCAAGCUCUAGUAACCACUCCUGUGUUUUAUUCCUUUGGUCCUAGAUGUGGUAACAGCUCUGCUUUUCCCACCCCCAGGGUUCUGUACUAUCCCUUGUGGUUUCUCUACACCUUGACUAGUUCUAUGCUGGGCUAUGUUGGAGCUUGAGGCAAAAGGAAAUAUCAGUGGUAUGGUUUGGAUCAGUGUCCCUACCCAAAUCUCAUGUUCAAUUGUAAUCCCGAGUGUUGGAGGAGGGGCCUGGUGGGAGGUGAUUGGGUCAUGAGGGCAGAGUUCUCGUGAAUGGGUUAGCACCGUCCCCUCAGUGCUGUUCUUGUGAGGGUGAGUGGGUGAGUUAUGAGAUGUGGUUGUUUAAAAGUGUAUGGCACCUCCCCUCUCUCUUCCUCCUGCACUGGUCCUGUGAAGGGCAUCGCUCUCUCUUCACCUUCCACCAUGGCUGAAAGUUUCCUGAGGCCUCCCCAGAAGUUGAGCAGAGGCCAGCCUCAUGCUUCCUGUACAGCCCACAGAACGUGAGCCAAUUAAACCUCUUUUCUUUAUAAAUUAUCCAGUCUCAAGUAUUUCUUUAUAGCAAUGUGAG
This is a long non-coding RNA of Papio anubis (olive baboon), 4210 nucleotides long. The record is from Ensembl. Lineage: Eukaryota; Metazoa; Chordata; Mammalia; Primates; Cercopithecidae.